CAAAACCUCUCAGCAUUAAUUUGUUGGUACUGGGCGCGGAGUAAGGCUAACGCCCCUCCCGCUUUAAACGUGACGCAUGAGGACCGGUUGCUAUAACUAGGUUUAUGAAGUUGGUGUUUACAUAUAUUUCAUACCUUGGCUCUGGCGAUCCGGCAUUAAACUUAUGUUGCUCUGCAACUGAC
RNAcentral lists this unclassified non-coding RNA (182 nucleotides) under uncultured Ascomycota. RNAcentral's name for it is "sequence contains ITS2". Lineage: Eukaryota; Fungi; Ascomycota. The record is from RNAcentral.